RNAcentral lists this ribosomal RNA (137 nucleotides) under uncultured eukaryote. Its description in RNAcentral is "partial 18S ribosomal RNA". It matches the Rfam family "Eukaryotic small subunit ribosomal RNA", at positions 1299 to 1458 of the family's 1831-position model. The record is from RNAcentral.
UGGUGGAGCGAUUUGUCUGGUUAAUUCCGAUAACGAACGAGACUCCAACCUACUAACUAGUGGGCAAAUCGAUUGUCGUUUGCAACACUUCUUAGAGGGAUAGGUGACGUUUAGUCACAUGAGAAGGAGCAAUAACA